Long non-coding RNA from Raphanus sativus (radish), 470 nucleotides. RefSeq lists it as uncharacterized. The transcript has 4 exons. Lineage: Eukaryota; Viridiplantae; Streptophyta; Magnoliopsida; Brassicales; Brassicaceae. The record is from RefSeq and is a predicted model, not a curated record.
AUUUGGUCUUCUCUUGUGUAAGUUAAUUCUCUUUUCUUUCUACUUAGUUAUCUCUCUACUUAAAAGCUUAAAAUUAUUUGGUUCAUUAAACUGUUAUGAGACUAUGCUGAAAAAGGUCUCAGCUUGAUUUGCUUUUCUUCUUUCUUUGUCUUUUGGCUACCUUUGAAGAUUGUUGUUGGUGGAAGGCACAAGUAUUUGAUCAAUGGUCUUGAACAUGAAACCUCCAGAGAUCUUAUCGGUCUGUACAAGUAAGAAAGAAUGGUGAAAGAAACUAUUAUUGACUCAUUGUUGGAGAUUAACUACGGAAGACGUUUGAGGAUCGUGAGCAUGAGCUGCUAAGAGGAGGUAGCAAAAGCGUGGUCGUUAGCCUCUGGGACAUUAGGUUUAGAGGGUGUGUGACUGGAAGACGGUGACGUUAGAGAACUCGUUAUUACGGCGUCGGUCGUGGUGUGGUGCGGGCGUAAGGAGAU